GAUGGUCCCGCUUGCGGGGCCUGAUUAGUGGCGAACGGGUGAGUAAUACGUGAGUAACCUGCCCUUGACUCUGGGAUAAGCCUGGGAAACUGGGUCUAAUACUGGAUACUACUGUCCAUCGCAUGGUGGGUGGUGGAAAGGGUUUUACUGGUUUUGGAUGGGCUCACGGCCUAUCAGCUUGUUGGUGGGGUAAUGGCUCACCAAGGCGACGACGGGUAGCCGGCCUGAGAGGGUGACCGGCCACACUGGGACUGAGACACGGCCCAGACUCCUACGGGAGGCAGCAGUGGGGAAUAUUGCACAAUGGGCGAAAGCCUGAUGCAGCGACGCCGCGUGAGGGAUGACGGCCUUCGGGUUGUAAACCUCUUUCAGUAGGGAAGAAGCGAAAGUGACGGUACCUGCAGAAGAAGCGCCGGCUAACUACGUGCCAGCAGCCGCGGUAAUACGUAGGGCGCAAGCGUUGUCCGGAAUUAUUGGGCGUAAAGAGCUCGUAGGCGGUUUGUCGCGUCUGCUGUGAAAGCCCGGGGCUCAACCCCGGGUCUGCAGUGGGUACGGGCAGACUAGAGUGCAGUAGGGGAGACUGGAAUUCCUGGUGUAGCGGUGAAAUGCGCAGAUAUCAGGAGGAACACCGAUGGCGAAGGCAGGUCUCUGGGCUGUUACUGACGCUGAGGAGCGAAAGCAUGGGGAGCGAACAGGAUUAGAUACCCUGGUAGU
RNAcentral lists this ribosomal RNA (714 nucleotides) under Actinomycetes bacterium. RNAcentral describes it as "bacterial SSU rRNA". It matches the Rfam family "Bacterial small subunit ribosomal RNA", at positions 68 to 794 of the family's 1533-position model. The record is from RNAcentral. Lineage: Bacteria; Bacillati; Actinomycetota; Actinomycetes.